UUGAAUGGCAAUAUAGGGGCAAAUCACUUCAAAGGAGUCAGCCCUCGAAAGCUUCUCAAAAUAGAUAUUUCAGCAGCCUCUUAAAAUGGAGGGAGUCAGAUGUAACUCCAUUGGGAGGCAAUUCCAAAGAGAUGGUGUGACUGCAGAGAAGAUCCAACUUCUUGUUGAGAAUUUUCUGGCCUCCAUAGCCACCUGGAGGACCAAAGCCUGAGAGAAUCUGGCGGCAUGGGAAGAUGAUUAUGAACUAUCCUCAAAAGCAAGCCAGACAUGAUGGCCACACAACCCUUUGGAAAGAUUAUUUAGUUUAGUCAGAGUAAUCUACUACUACUACUACUACUACUACUACUACUACUACUACUACUACUACUACUACUACUACUACUACUACUACUACUACUACUACUACUACUACUAAUAAUAAUAAUAAUAAUAAUAAUAAUAAUAAUAAUAAUAAUAAUAAUAAUACAGCUUCUACUGCUUCAUAUUCAGGAUUUGGAUGGUAUCUUGACAACAAAUCAAUCACUGAAUCAUUAGUUCCCUAAUUUCAAAUGUUCUCCUUUUCUACUGUGAAAAUAAGAAAGCAGGACAAAUUCUAGACAGUGCAUUUGAUAACUCAACUAAUAAUAAACUCAAAAGCUGUGAAUGGAUCUUCUUUUCCCGUAAGCAAGAACUGAUGUAAAAGUUCCUCAAGGAGUUUUGUCUUUCUUAUGCAGGGAUUCAAAGUUGCUAAAUAUCUUGAGAGAGAUUAUGUGGCAUUUAUGUUGCACGAGGAACAAGGAAGGCCUAGAAAUCUCAAAGCAAAAAGCUGUUAUUGGACACAGUUUUUAAGUAAAGCUAGGUGACCGUUUUGAGGACCGAAGCUACCAACAUGAAUUUGACCCAACUGCGGGAGGCAGUGGAAGACAGGAAGGUCUGACGUGCUCUGGUCCAUGGGGUCAUGAAGAGUCGGACACGACUAAAUGACUGAACGAUGAUGAGGUCCCCGUGCAAAUUUACACAAGGAAUUACUUGGUAAGAAAGAAGGACUUACCUGCCGUGUGGUUUUAUCACCUCUAUUUCAGGGGUUGUAGAAUCAAUCACCAAUUUUUGCCUCUAUAGAGGUUGCAAGCAUUCACCAUAAAGCUUUUGGUGUACAGAGAUAAAGGACCUAUUUUAUUAUUUUUGAGAGAGAGAAAAAAGAUCUUGUUUAAAAUUUGUACAGUAACUGAUAAUAACUACCUCCUUGUUUAGGCCACUGAACUAUAAUUCACAAAGAGUUUUUAAAAGUAACUUUCCAAGCUUUAUCUUUAUGUAGCUCAGUGGUCCAUCUGCCUGUGCUUGCAACAGGAAAAGAAUUACCUGAGUGAAAGGCAACACAGAUUCCAAUCCCAGUGCCUGUGCAAAUAUAUCCAUGUCUGCCUGGCUCCCUCCUGCUGAUCUGUCCCUCCACAGCAGUCUUGUGAUCUUGCAGCUCAGCUGCUGAACUUUCACUGUUUCAUCCAGGGACCCGCUUCUGGUUCUGGCUGUGCUAAUUUCCUGGCUUUGAAGCAUAGCCCUGUGUGUGUAUGACUGCCAUCUAUUGGGCAGUAUUAAAAGUCAAUCAAAGAUAUCUUUCUUGUGAUAUACAAUAAAGAUUAUUCUUUAACAGGGAAAUUGCUUCCA
This is a long non-coding RNA of Pogona vitticeps (central bearded dragon), 1641 nucleotides long. The record is from Ensembl. NCBI's taxonomy places the organism in Eukaryota, Metazoa, Chordata, Lepidosauria, Squamata, Agamidae.